CCUACGGGAGGCAGCAGUGAGGAAUAUUGGUCAAUGGCCGAGAGGCUGAACCAGCCAAGUCGCGUGAGGGAAGACGGCCCUACGGGUUGUAAACCUCUUUUGUCGGGGAGCAAAGCGCGUCACGUGUGACUCAUUGUGAGUACCCGAAGAAAAAGCAUCGGCUAACUCCGUGCCAGCAGCCGCGGUAAUACGGAGGAUGCGAGGGUUAUCCGGAUUUAUUGGGUUUAAAGGGGGCGCAGGCGGAUGUUCAAGUCAGCGGUCAAAUUGCGGGGCUCAACCCCGUACUGCAGUUGAAACUGCAUGCCUUGAGUGCGCGAGAAGUAGGCGGAAUGCGUGGUGUAGCGGUGAAAUGCAGAGAUAUCACGCAGAACUCCGAUUGCGAAGGCAGCAUACCGGCGCGCAACUGACGCUCAUGCACGAAAGCGUGGGUAUCGAACAGGAUUAGAUACCCUGGUAGUC
Molecule: ribosomal RNA, 459 nt
Filed under: uncultured bacterium
Lineage: Bacteria
Description: partial 16S ribosomal RNA
Rfam family: Bacterial small subunit ribosomal RNA
Source: RNAcentral